Molecule: RNA transcript, 2719 nt
Organism: Triticum urartu
Lineage: Eukaryota; Viridiplantae; Streptophyta; Magnoliopsida; Poales; Poaceae
Source: RefSeq, a predicted model, not a curated record
CAGCAUGAAGUAAACCACCUCACCACCCACGAGGCCAUGAUAUCGCACUCCUCCCCGACUGUCCCAAUCCGCUGAAGCCGACGGCGACGCCGACGCCGUGCCCCUCCACUUCCUUCGUCGCCGAUGCCCUGCUCCCCAACCGGCAACAAUGUCUCCCCUUCCUUCAACGCCGCCUACUUCUACUGCGUGAACACGUCGACCUGACCUGGAUGGUGCAGAAUCGACUACCUGGCCACCACCGCCGCUGGCUCGCGUAGACCAAGACGAAUGCAACGCGAUGUGGCGCAGUCAUGUCCGUCGGCCGAGCACAAAUCAGGGGUUGACACCUGCACCGGCAAGCCGUCCCCAGCGCAUAGAUCGCCGACGCCCUGCUCCCCUCACCUCCUUCUCCUCCCUCCACCUGCCAUCUAAAGUUGAAUCGGAUCCAGUGGUCUCCCACUGCCUCUAAUGUCCUCAACGACCUGCUCCGACGCAGGGGUGCAGGUCGAGGUCCAUAUGUCCCCAAGUUCUCCCAUGUUUGCCUUCGGUUCCACCCAGGCUAGGUAAUGUUUGAUUUCUGAUCCCUUCCCAAUCUCUCAAGUUCACACAAUUUUGUUAGGCCUCAUUUUAGCUAGGUUAGGAUUAACUGAGUGCACAUCCAUAGUUGCAAAACGUUCUAGACAUUUCCUUGUAAAAUUUCUGGAUAUCAAGAGCCCAGAAGCCGCUGGAAUCGAUCACCGCCUCCCUGCCGGCUACCGGAGCGUACUAGUCAUGCCAACCUCUAGACCCUAUCCAUUUAAUUUCCUGGUGAAGCUGAUCUUCAGGUGCCUCACAAGAUUCAGAAAUUUUAUUUUCUGUCCAUUGUCGUGACUAUCAAUUUCUUCCUUUCCUGCAUGUUUGGUCCAAUUCUUUGAUACAGUGGAUUUGAAUAGGAUAAGUUACUUAGUUGCUAGAGCUCUUCCUGGUUAAAUCAUUUAGACAACAUAGAAAAAGUUCAGAGAAGGUUAAACGAAUCUUAUUUUUGUUAUGGUUUUCCAAAAAAGCAAGUUGCAGCUUGGUACUGCAAGUGCAAGGAGAUUACGCAUUAGGUACCAUACUGUUGGUCUUUUCAAAUUUACGGUGUGAUUAAAUUUUCAGGGUGUGAAAGGGCAUGUCUCAAGUGAUAACCUGGUAGAAAAAGCCUCUGAGGCAGAGUCUGAUUCUGUGUUUCAGCCCUCAGACUCUAAUUUCUACAACAUGUCAACACAUGUUCGUUGGUAAACAGUUUUUUAUUGCCCACUAGUUGUCUGAAUGCAUAAGAAGGAGCUGAUAAAUUGUAGAUUUGCAGUGAUGUGUCUGUUCACGAGAGGAGGGGCAGUAGCAUCACGAUGCGGGUGGCGGGGUGGUAGGCGGCAGCGUGGCAGCAGGAUGGUGUUGGCAGCUGUUAUGAAAAGGUCUGUAACACUGUAUGCUAGGAGGCAAGACUGGCGGGGGUUUAAGGACACACAUUCUGGCUACCCGGGGCGGCCGCCCAUACCAGCCCAUACGGUGGCGCCGCCCCUGUUUGUGUCCAAUUAGUGUUGUUACUGCUCAUUCGUUAGUUUAUUUUUCUUGUUGUAGGGAUCCCCGUGAGGCCUCACCAUAUUACUAGGCUCUACUUUUUGUCAUGAACGAUGAUGAACUCCAUCAAAACAUAGUGUUUUAUUUUUUCCUCUACGGAAUUCCCCCUUUGUGAUUGUGAAUUGUCUUCAGUUUUAUAGCUUAAUUGCCUUGUCAAAAUCACUGGUUGAAUUACCAUAGUUUUUAUUUCGGAAGGUACUAUUAUCUAGGUUUGGAUUUAAAGUAGAUAUAACUCCUAUUGGGGUUGAAGUAAAUACUUCAUGUAGAAUCCUUUUUGAGAUUCUUGUGUGCCAUAGUUGAUUUUCACAUAAAAACUAGGAAUAUUAUGUCAUUAAUUUCUAGGUACAUAUUAUAUCAGAAAAAUCAUCCCCAGGCGUGCCAUUUUUCAGUUCAUAUAGCUAACAGUGUAACAUAAAUGUGCAGUAGCAUAGCAGUUUUAUACUCCUUUCCGUUUCAUGUUUACUCCUUUUUGUAAGCUUAGGUAUGGGUACAUAUAUCUUUACCCACCACAAUACCAUAAGCAUGCUCGAUCAAGGAGACUAAGCAAAACCCUACGAGCAAAAAAUUCCAAUUAAAUUGACAAGAAGAUAUUGAAUAGCCUCAGUUAUCAUUUCACCCUGUUUGGAGUUGGGCGAUAAGCGCCACAUUUACAGACAUUUCUUGUUUGUACGAAUCCUUUUGGUUUGUUUGGUAAAUAUGUUACCAUCUGGUGUAAAAAAUCUGGUAUUUCUAAUAAGUGAGUACUGAUUUCUUUUAUUUGCAAAUGCAGUCGACCAAAUAAUCUCACUUGAACUACAUUUGUGAAUUUAUCAGGAUAUGAUAUAGGGAUUUGAUAUGAAAUGGAGGAAAGGAAGUUCUUUGUAAGCUACUUGCAGACGAAGAGGAAGUAUCUAGAGUCACUGAUGUGCAGUUAAAACGCGACACUCUUAGUUGUACAGUACCAUGUUAGAGGACCACCUCAAAAUCUUUUCUGUUGUAGAAAUUUAUGUAAAAUUCUUUUAAGCUUUACAUUUUUAUGGACACACGAAGCCAUGUAAAAAUUUGUACAUCGUGUGAUUUUAAGAUACUCCAGGUCUUGGGAUAACUCGUGACUGGUGAUUUUAUAUUGACAAGUGCAAUUGCGCAGUAAGUUAUAACGUUA